UACAGAGGUCCCAAGCGUUGUUCGGAUUCACUGGGCGUAAAGGGUGCGUAGGCGGUUGGGUAAGUCUGUCGUGAAAUCUCCGAGCCUAACUCGGAAACUGCGUCGGAUACUAUUCAACUCGAGGAAUGGAGGGGAGACUGGAAUUCUCGGUGUAGCAGUGAAAUGCGUAGAGAUCAUGAGGAAGACCAGUGGCGAAGGCGGGUCUCUGGACAGUUCCUGACACUGAGGCACGAAGGCCAGGGGAGCAAACGGG
RNAcentral lists this ribosomal RNA (253 nucleotides) under uncultured bacterium. Its description in RNAcentral is "partial 16S ribosomal RNA". It matches the Rfam family "Bacterial small subunit ribosomal RNA", at positions 524 to 776 of the family's 1533-position model. The record is from RNAcentral.